AGUGAACGCUGGCGGUAGGCCUAACACAUGCAAGUCGAACGGCAGCACAGUAAGAGCUUGCUCUUACGGGUGGCGAGUGGCGGACGGGUGAGGAAUACAUCGGAAUCUACUUUUUCGUGGGGGAUAACGUAGGGACACUUACGCUAAUACCGCAUACGACCUACGGGUGAAAGCAGGGGAUCUUCGGACCUUGCGCGAUUGAAUGAGCCGAUGUCGGAUUAGCUAGUUGGCGGGGUAAAGGCCCACCAAGGCGACGAUCCGUAGCUGGUCUGAGAGGAUGAUCAGCCACACUGGAACUGAGACACGGUCCAGACUCCUACGGGAGGCAGCAGUGGGGAAUAUUGGGCAAUGGGCGCAAGCCUGAUCCAGCCAUACCGCGUGGGUGAAGAAGGCCUUCGGGUUGUAAAGCCCUUUUGUUGGGAAAGAAAAGCAGCAGGUUAAUACCCCGCUGUUCUGACGGUACCCAAAGAAUAAGCACCGGCUAACUUCGUG
RNAcentral lists this ribosomal RNA (492 nucleotides) under uncultured bacterium. Its description in RNAcentral is "partial 16S ribosomal RNA". It matches the Rfam family "Bacterial small subunit ribosomal RNA", at positions 29 to 507 of the family's 1533-position model. The record is from RNAcentral.